RNAcentral lists this long non-coding RNA (1649 nucleotides) under Manihot esculenta (cassava). Its description in RNAcentral is "long non-coding RNA (MESC_LNC002623)". The record is from RNAcentral. Lineage: Eukaryota; Viridiplantae; Streptophyta; Magnoliopsida; Malpighiales; Euphorbiaceae.
CAAUCCAUAUAGGGAACAAUUUUGUAAUUGCAGGUUGCAGUGAUUUGUUCUUCUGGCUUGGGGAGGAAGCGUACAGACAGCAGAGGGAGAAGAUGAUACACCGAAAAUGGAGUCUACUAACUGGUCCAGUGGCAAUCUUGGGCGGGAUCGUUGCAACGGUGGUCGUCGCCAACUUAAUCUUCGUUAAGGAUGUAAAGUUCUCUUCUCUUUUCCUUCGAUUUCCAAACCCUAGAUUUUAUAUUUGAGUUUUGGUAUCGGGGGAAUCGAAGGAUGUAUUUUCAUUUAAGAUUUCGAUUGAAAUUAUUCAUUGGAAUGAUUUGCAUUCGGUUUUAUUCGUCAUUCUUAUAUCUAAAUCGUAGGAGACAUCUAAACCUUUUGGCUAUUCGAUCGUGUCUCUGAUCGUAAUCGUAAAAAUUAGAUUUGUUUAACUUAGUUGUGAAUUAAGAAUAACACUUUUUGAAUGAUUGUGGGAGCUAUCAUUCUUUGUUAAAAUAAAGAGCGUCGCUCUCUGUUUAACUUCUGUUCAAAAAAUAUUAAAUGGAAAAACCUGUUCUGUCAUUCUUUAGAUGUUGUUAAUUAUUAGCUAGGUAGUUGAGUUUCUUUGCUGCAAUGAAAGCGCCAGUAGAGCCAGUAAGCAACGUGCACACCUGCUACACAUUUUUUACUUGAACUAAUUUCUUUAGCUGGAUUAUUUCAUAAACUGCUAGUUAUUCAAACCAAAGCUUUUUAUGCAGGGCGUAACCAUACACAUGCUAACACAUUGCGAUAUAUUUGAAAUUUGCAGGACCCAUUUCUUAAACCAAAGAAAAAGAACCAAGAUUCACCACCAUCAACCAAAUAGAACAGAAGCAAAGUGAAUUGCUUAAUGGAUGUGUUGUAAGCUUUUCAGGUGGUUUGUGUUUGUUGAUUAUUUUUCUAGCGAAACAAAUGUUUAAGCUGCAUUUUGGUACAAGGCUCUUCUUAGUUCAAUAAAGUGGAGUUCAUGAUCAAGUUUAGUAAUUUCUCUUCAUUAUGUUCACCAAAUUGCUGUUGUUAAAUCUUGAUUGAGCUACCAUGAGAGCAAGAAAAAGCAAAAUUCAGCUGUUUUUCCUUGUUCAGUAAUGAUAAUUUUUGGGGUAGAUUGCCGAGUAGGAAUACUAUGAAUUUCUGCGUCGUGUUAGCGUAUAUCCACUUUUAAUUCAUCAAGAAUGGUUAUUAAUAAUUGAUAUGGUAAAUUUUAUUCUCUUAAAAAGAAAAAUCUUAGUAUCUUCUGGGUAUAUGAUUCACUGGUAAACGUUAUUAUUAUUAUUAUGAUUGCCUUUCAAUCCUGAGAAAGACUCCAACCCCCCUUUUCAUAGGCUGGAUGUAGCUAUUUCCACUACUCCAUGAUAAGCUUGCGUUUGAAUUAACCUUCACUGCGACAGGUGAUGAGUUGUGACUACGGUUAGGUGUGAAAAAAUAUCUUUCAUUUGACCAUCAAUGCAUGUGAUUUACAUAAAGUUAACACGUAAUUUUUCUGUAUGUUUCAGGGGAAAAUAAUCUAAGGAGUAAUUUUUCCUGAAGAAAAAGGGAAAGAGGUAAAAAUAUGAUGUAUAAACAAUGGUACAAUGAAAUAAUAUGCCCCAAAGAAUCACAAUCUCUCCCUUCACAUAUGCGAACUGCCUGGUGAG